ACUCCUACGGGAGGCAGCAGUGGGGAAUAUUGCACAAUGGAGGGAACUCUGAUGCAGCGACGCCGCGUGAGCGAUGAAGGCCUUCGGGUCGUAAAGCUCUGUCCUAUGGGACGAUAAUGACGGUACCAUAGGAGGAAGCCCCGGCUAACUACGUGCCAGCAGCCGCGGUAAU
This 172-nucleotide ribosomal RNA is filed under the name uncultured Clostridium sp. RNAcentral's name for it is "partial 16S ribosomal RNA". It matches the Rfam family "Bacterial small subunit ribosomal RNA", at positions 335 to 524 of the family's 1533-position model. The record is from RNAcentral. RNAcentral also lists the same sequence under 1 other name. Lineage: Bacteria; Bacillati; Bacillota; Clostridia; Eubacteriales; Clostridiaceae.